This 305-nucleotide ribosomal RNA is filed under the name uncultured bacterium. RNAcentral's name for it is "bacterial SSU rRNA". It matches the Rfam family "Bacterial small subunit ribosomal RNA", at positions 333 to 657 of the family's 1533-position model. The record is from RNAcentral.
GUACCUACGGGGCGCAGCAGUGGGGAAUAUUGCACAAUGGGGGAAACCCCGAUGCAGCAACGCCGCGUGAGUGAAGAAGUCAUUCGUGAUGUAAAGCUCUAUCAGCAGGGAAGAAAAUGACGGUACCCGAGUAAGAAGCCCCGGCUAACUACGUGCCAGCAGCCGCGGUAAUACGUAGGGGGCAAGCGUUAUCCGGAUUUACUGGGUGUAAAGGGAGCGUAGACGGUCCUGCAAGUCUGGAGUGAAACGCAUGAGCUCAACUCAUGCAUGGCUUUGGAAACUGGAGGACUGGAGAGCAGGAGAGG